GGGGCUGUAGCUCAGUUGGGAGAGCGCCGCAAUCGCACUGCGGAGGUCAGGGGUUCGAAUCCCCUCAGCUCCACCA
Molecule: transfer RNA, 76 nt
Filed under: Rhizobiales bacterium 65-9
Lineage: Bacteria; Pseudomonadati; Pseudomonadota; Alphaproteobacteria; Hyphomicrobiales
Also listed under: 3 other names
Description: tRNA-Ala
Rfam family: tRNA
About the family: Transfer RNA (tRNA) molecules are approximately 80 nucleotides in length.
Source: RNAcentral